CGUAUAUUAAAGUUGUUGCAGUUAAAAAGCUCGUAGUUGGAUUUGUGGUUGCGCCUGUGGUCCGUAUUGUUCGGUUCUAUGGGCGCGACCAUCCUUGGGUGGAACCUGUGUGGCAUUAGGUUGUCGUGCAGGGGAUGCCCAUCGUUUACUGUGAAAAAAUUAGAGUGUUCAAAGCAGGCUUAUGCCGUUGAAUAUAUUAGCAUGGAAUAAUGAGAUAGGACCUUGGUACUAUUUUGUUGGUUUGCGCACCGAGGUAAUGAUUAAUAGGGACAGUUGGGGG
Molecule: ribosomal RNA, 280 nt
Filed under: uncultured diatom
Lineage: Eukaryota; Bacillariophyta
Description: partial 18S ribosomal RNA
Rfam family: Eukaryotic small subunit ribosomal RNA
Source: RNAcentral